CUAGUGAUUAGAGUUUGAUCCAUGNCUCAGAUUGAACGCUGGCGGCAUGCUUUACACAUCCAAGUCGAACGGUAACGCGGACUUCGGUCUGGCGACGAGUGGCGAACGGGUGAGUAAUGCAUCGGAACGUAUCCAUUUGUGGGGGAUAGCCCGGCGAAAGCCGGAUUAAUACCGCAUAAUCUCUGAGGAGGAAAGUGGGGGACCUUCGGGCCUUACGCUGAUGGAGCGGCUGAUGUCGGAUUAGCUUGUUGGUAGGGUAAAGGCCUACCAAGGCGACGAUCCGUAGCUGGUCUGAGAGGACGACCAGCCACACUGGAACUGAGACACGGUCCAGACUCCUACGGGAGGCAGCAGUGGGGAAUUUUGGACAAUGGGGGCAACCCUGAUCCAGCCAUGCCGCGUGCGGGAAGAAGGCCUUCGGGUUGUAAACCGCUUUCAGACGGAAAGAAACAGUACAAGCUUAAU
This 465-nucleotide ribosomal RNA is filed under the name uncultured beta proteobacterium. Its description in RNAcentral is "bacterial SSU rRNA". It matches the Rfam family "Bacterial small subunit ribosomal RNA", at positions 1 to 465 of the family's 1533-position model. Lineage: Bacteria; Pseudomonadati; Pseudomonadota; Betaproteobacteria. The record is from RNAcentral.